CACCAACAUACAAUUUUCUUGAAUGCUCUCUCUAUGUAAACACUAUGAAAAUAAUGGAAUAAAAUUCUACUUUUAAUAAAGAUGUCCAUAAUAAAAAUGCAGGCAGCUUGAAAAUAAUGCAUAGAUGUGAGCUACGAAGGCCAUUAAUGGCCUGGCGUUCAAUCAACUGUCUGUGAAAUGGUUACCAUCGAUUGAAUUUAAGACAAAUGGAGAAACUCGGGGAAAUAUAACAAAGUGUGGUACCACAUAGAGGAUCGACGGUCCAUUGAUUGAUUAACAGACCAUUCUGCUAAAUCAUCGAUUUGAUCAUAGAUAAUCCCAGUAGCCGAUGUUGGAGAGAUUCUAAUGAUGAAGCGACAAAGGGCAUCGACGGACCGUCGGUGGAUCGACUGACCUUGCUGUUGGUACGUUGAUUAAUUCAGAAAUGAUUCACUCUGAAAGAAAAAAAAUAAAUCUAAGUAUGGACUGAUGGUAGCAGUCGAUGGAUCGUUGUUCCAUCAAUGGUCCGUCUGUGGGGUUCGUCGAUUAUAGCUGCAUAUUUGGUCAAUGUUUUCUUAUUUCAAUUCCUUCUAAUUUAGGACUAUGUUUUUUAUAAAUAGGGAUUAAAACCUCAUUUUUGGGGUUAGACACUAUUAUUAUUGUUCUUGUUUUUGUUUGGAGAUUAGGGUAUUGCAAACUUUGGCAAUAAUUUAAUUUCCAAAUUUGGUUUCAAGUAGUAUUGUGAAAUUACAAGUUGAUUUGUUGGGUUUUCUUCACAUUGUAAAA
Molecule: long non-coding RNA, 765 nt
Organism: Solanum lycopersicum (tomato)
Lineage: Eukaryota; Viridiplantae; Streptophyta; Magnoliopsida; Solanales; Solanaceae
Source: RefSeq, a predicted model, not a curated record